Molecule: ribosomal RNA, 1672 nt
Filed under: Salmonella enterica subsp. enterica serovar Mississippi
Lineage: Bacteria; Pseudomonadati; Pseudomonadota; Gammaproteobacteria; Enterobacterales; Enterobacteriaceae
Description: partial 23S ribosomal RNA
Rfam family: Bacterial large subunit ribosomal RNA
Source: RNAcentral
CUGGAGGUAUCAGAAGUGCGAAUGCUGACAUAAGUAACGAUAAAGCGGGUGAAAAGCCCGCUCGCCGGAAGACCAAGGGUUCCUGUCCAACGUUAAUCGGGGCAGGGUGAGUCGACCCCUAAGGCGAGGCCGAAAGGCGUAGUCGAUGGGAAACGGGUUAAUAUUCCCGUACUUGGUGUUACUGCGAAGGGGGGACGGAGAAGGCUAUGUUGGCCGGGCGACGGUUGUCCCGGUUUAAGCGUGUAGGUGUGUGUUCCAGGUAAAUCCGGUUCACUUUAACACUGAGGCGUGACGACGAGGCACUACGGUGCUGAAGCAACAAAUGCCCUGCUUCCAGGAAAAGCCUCUAAGCAUCAGGUAACAUCAAAUCGUACCCCAAACCGACACAGGUGGUCAGGUAGAGAAUACCAAGGCGCUUGAGAGAACUCGGGUGAAGGAACUAGGCAAAAUGGUGCCGUAACUUCGGGAGAAGGCACGCUGACACGUAGGUGAAGUGAUUUACUCAUGGAGCUGAAGUCAGUCGAAGAUACCAGCUGGCUGCAACUGUUUAUUAAAAACACAGCACUGUGCAAACACGAAAGUGGACGUAUACGGUGUGACGCCUGCCCGGUGCCGGAAGGUUAAUUGAUGGGGUCAGCGCAAGCGAAGCUCCUGAUCGAAGCCCCGGUAAACGGCGGCCGUAACUAUAACGGUCCUAAGGUAGCGAAAUUCCUUGUCGGGUAAGUUCCGACCUGCACGAAUGGCGUAAUGAUGGCCAGGCUGUCUCCACCCGAGACUCAGUGAAAUUGAACUCGCUGUGAAGAUGCAGUGUACCCGCGGCAAGACGGAAAGACCCCGUGAACCUUUACUAUAGCUUGACACUGAACACUGGUCCUUGAUGUGUAGGAUAGGUGGGAGGCUUUGAAGUGUGGACGCCAGUCUGCAUGGAGCCAUCCUUGAAAUACCACCCUUUAAUGGCUGGUGUUCUAACGUAGACCCGUAAUCCGGGUUGCGGACAGUGUCUGGUGGGUAGUUUGACUGGGGCGGUCUCCUCCUAAAGAGUAACGGAGGAGCACGAAGGUUGGCUAAUCCUGGUCGGACAUCAGGAGGUUAGUGCAAUGGCAUAAGCCAGCUUGACUGCGAGCGUGACGGCGCGAGCAGGUGCGAAAGCAGGUCAUAGUGAUCCGGUGGUUCUGAAUGGAAGGGCCAUCGCUCAACGGAUAAAAGGUACUCCGGGGAUAACAGGCUGAUACCGCCCAAGAGUUCAUAUCGACGGCGGUGUUUGGCACCUCGAUGUCGGCUCAUCACAUCCUGGGGCUGAAGUAGGUCCCAAGGGUAUGGCUGUUCGCCAUUUAAAGUGGUACGCGAGCUGGGUUUAGAACGUCGUGAGACAGUUCGGUCCCUAUCUGCCGUGGGCGCUGGAGAACUGAGGGGGGCUGCUCCUAGUACGAGAGGACCGGAGUGGACGCAUCACUGGUGUUCGGGUUGUCAUGCCAAUGGCACUGCCCGGUAGCUAAAUGCGGAAGAGAUAAGUGCUGAAAGCAUCUAAGCACGAAACUUGCCCCGAGAUGAGUUCUCCCUGAGACUUAGAGUCUCCUGAAGGAACGUUGAAGACGACGACGUUGAUAGGCCGGGUGUGUAAGCGCAGCGAUGCGUUGAGCUAACCGGUACUAAUGAACCGUGAGGCUUAACC